UACAGAGGUCUCAAGCGUUGUUCGGAUUCAUUGGGCGUAAAGGGUGCGUAGGCGGGUUUUUAAGUCAGGGGUGAAAUCCUGGAGCUCAACUCCAGAACUGCCUUUGAUACUGAAAAUCUUGAGUUCGGGAGAGGUGAGUGGAACUGCGAGUGUAGAGGUGAAAUUCGUAGAUAUUCGCAAGAACACCAGUGGCGAAGGCGGCUCACUGGCCCGAUACUGACGCUGAGGCACGAAAGCGUGGGGAGCAAACAGG
RNAcentral lists this ribosomal RNA (253 nucleotides) under uncultured bacterium. RNAcentral describes it as "partial 16S ribosomal RNA". It matches the Rfam family "Bacterial small subunit ribosomal RNA", at positions 524 to 776 of the family's 1533-position model. The record is from RNAcentral.